AGGGGAGGUAAUAACAUGGCUAUAUACGGGGAGGUAAUAACAUGGCUAUAUACGGGGAGGUAAUAACAUGGCUAUAUACGGGGAGGUAAUAACAUGGCUAUAUACGGGGAGGUAAUAACAUGGCUAUAUACGGGGAGGUAAUAACAUGGCUAUAUACGGGGAGGUAAUAACAUGGCUAUAUACGGGGAGGUAAUAACAUGGCUAUAUACGGGGAGGUAAUAACAUGGCUAUAUACGGGGAGGUAAUAACAUGGCUAUAUACGGGGAGGUAAUAACAUGGCUAUAUACGGGGAGGUAAUAACAUGGCUAUAUACGGGGAGGUAAUAACAUGGCUAUAUACGGGGAGGUAAUAACAUGGCUAUAUACGGGGAGGUAAUAACAUGGCUAUAUACGGGGAGGUAAUAACAUGGCUAUAUACGGGGAGGUAAUAACAUGGCUAUAUACGGGGAGGUAAUAACAUGGCUAUAUACGGGGAGGUAAUAACAUGGCUAUAUACGGGGAGGUAAUAACAUGGUUAUAUACGGGAAGGUAAUAACAUGGCUAUAUACAGGAAGGUAAUAACAUGGCUAUAUACAGGGAGUACCAGGUAAUAACAUGGCUAUAUACAGAGAGGUAAUAACAUGGCUAUAUACAGAGAGGUAAUAACAUGGCUAUAUACAGAGAGGUAAUAACAUGGCUAUAUACAGAGGUAAUAACAUGGCUAUAUACAGGGAGGUAAUAACAUGGCUAUAUACAGGGAGGUAAUAACAUGGCUAUAUACAGAGAGGUAAUAACAUGGCUAUAUACAGGAAGGUAAUAACAUGGCUAUAUACAGGGAGGUAAUAACAUGGCUAUAUACAGGGAGGUAAUAACAUGGCUAUAUACAGGGAGGUAAUAACAUGGCUAUAUACAGGGAGGUAAUAACAUGGCUAUAUACAGGGAGGUAAUAACAUGGCUAUAUACAGGGAGGUAAUAACAUGGCUAUAUACAGGGAGGUAAUAACAUGGUUAUAUAC
Molecule: long non-coding RNA, 993 nt
Organism: Oncorhynchus keta (chum salmon)
Lineage: Eukaryota; Metazoa; Chordata; Actinopteri; Salmoniformes; Salmonidae
Exons: 5
Source: RefSeq, a predicted model, not a curated record